AGCAGCCGCGGUAAUUCCAGCUCCAAUAGCGUAUAUUAAAGUUGUUGCAGUUAAAAAGCUCGUAGUUGAACCUUAGGCCCGUGCGGGCGGUCCGUCCUCAGGGCGAGCACUGCCUCGUCGCGGGUCUCACCUUCUGGCGAGCGUGGAUGCCAUUUAUUUGGUGUCUGCGGGAACCAGGACCUUUACCUUGAAAAAAUUAGAGUGCUCAAAGCGGGCUCAGACGCUUGAAUACAUUAGCAUGGAAUAAUGAAAUAGGACGAUGGUUCUAUUUUGUUGGUUUCCGGGACCGUCGUAAUGAUUAAUAGGGAUAGUUGGGGGCAUUCGUAUUCAAUUGUCAGAGGUGAAAUUCUUGGAUUUAUUGAAGACGAACUACUGCGAAAGCAUUUGCCAAGGAUGUUUUCAUUAAUCAAGAACGAAAGUUGGGGGAUCGAAGACGAUCAGAUACCGUCGUAGUACUCAAACCAUAAACUAUGCCGACUGGGAAUCGGGCAUGUUAUUUUUCGUGACUCGCUCGGCGACC
RNAcentral lists this ribosomal RNA (520 nucleotides) under uncultured Paraglomus. RNAcentral's name for it is "bacterial SSU rRNA". It matches the Rfam family "Eukaryotic small subunit ribosomal RNA", at positions 569 to 1088 of the family's 1831-position model. The record is from RNAcentral. Lineage: Eukaryota; Fungi; Glomeromycota; Glomeromycetes; Paraglomerales; Paraglomeraceae.